UAGGGAAUCUUCGGCAAUGGACGAAAGUCUGACCGAGCAACGCCGCGUGAGUGAAGAAGGUCUUCGGAUCGUAAAACUCUGUUGUUAGAGAAGAACAAGGACGUUAGUAACUGAACGUCCCCUGACGGUAUCUAACCAGAAAGCCACGGCUAACUACGUGCCAGCAGCCGCGGUAAUACGUAGGUGGCAAGCGUUGUCCGGAUUUAUUGGGCGUAAAGCGAGCGCAGGCGGUUUCUUAAGUCUGAUGUGAAAGCCCCCGGCUCAACCGGGGAGGGUCAUUGGAUACUGGGAGGCUUGAGUGCAGAAGAGGAGAGUGGAAUUCCAUGUGUAGCGGUGAAAUGCGUAGAUAUAUGGAGGAACACCAGUGGCGAAGGCGGCUCUCUGGUCUGUAACUGACGCUGAGGCACGAAAGCGUGGGGAGCAAACAGG
This 429-nucleotide ribosomal RNA is filed under the name Gemmatimonadota bacterium. RNAcentral's name for it is "Gemmatimonadetes bacterium partial 16S ribosomal RNA". It matches the Rfam family "Bacterial small subunit ribosomal RNA", at positions 355 to 776 of the family's 1533-position model. Lineage: Bacteria; Pseudomonadati; Gemmatimonadota. The record is from RNAcentral.